This 458-nucleotide ribosomal RNA is filed under the name uncultured bacterium. Its description in RNAcentral is "partial 16S ribosomal RNA". It matches the Rfam family "Bacterial small subunit ribosomal RNA", at positions 338 to 795 of the family's 1533-position model. The record is from RNAcentral.
CCUACGGGUGGCAGCAGUGGGGAAUAUUGCACAAUGGGGGAAACCCUGAUGCAGCGACGCCGCGUGAGUGAAGAAGUAAUUCGUUACGUAAAGCUCUAUCAGCAGGGAAGAAACACUGACCUUACGGUCAGCAGACGGUACCUGACUAAGAAGCACCGGCUAACUACGUGCCAGCAGCCGCGGUAAUACGUAGGGGGCAAGCGGUAUCAGGAUUUACUGGGUGUAAAGGGGGCGUACACGGCAGCACAAGUCGGGAGUCAAAUCCCGGGGCUUAACCCCGGAACUGCUUUGGAAACUGUGGGGCUGGAGUGCAGGAGGGGUAAGCGGAAUUCCUAGUGUAGCGGUGAAAUGCGUAGAUAUUAGGAGGAACACCGGUGGCGAAGGCGGCUUACUGGACUGUAACUGACGUUGAGGCUCGAAAGCGUGGGGAGCAAACAGGAUUAGAUACCCCUGUAGGC